Molecule: ribosomal RNA, 301 nt
Filed under: uncultured bacterium
Lineage: Bacteria
Description: partial 16S ribosomal RNA
Rfam family: Bacterial small subunit ribosomal RNA
Source: RNAcentral
CAGUAGCCACGGUAAUACAGAGGGUGCGAGCGUUAAUCGGAUUUACUGGGCGUAAAGCGUGCGUAGGCGGCUUUUUAAGUCGGAUGUGAAAUCCCUGAGCUUAACUUAGGAAUUGCAUUCGAUACUGGGAAGCUAGAGUAUGGGAGAGGAUGGUAGAAUUUCAGGUGUAGCGGUGAAAUGCGUAGAGAUCUGGAGGAAUACCGAUGGCGAAGGCAGCCAUCUGGCCUAAUACUGACGCUGAGGUACGAAAGCAUGGGGAGCAAACAGGAUUAGAUACCCCAGUAGUCCCUGUCUCUUAUAA